CAGCAGCCGCGGUAACACAGAGGGUGCGAGCGUUAAUCGGAUUUACUGGGCGUAAAGCGUGCGUAGGCGGCUUCUUAAGUCGGAUGUGAAAUCCCUGAGCUUAACUUAGGAAUUGCAUUCGAUACUGGGAAGCUAGAGUAUGGGAGAGGAUGGUAGAAUUCCAGGUGUAGCGGUGAAAUGCGUAGAGAUCUGGAGGAAUACCGAUGGCGAAGGCAGCCAUCUGGCCUAAUACUGACGCUGAGGUACGAAAGCAUGGGGAGCAAACAGGAUUAGAUACCCCUGUAGUCCCUGUCUCUUAUAA
This 301-nucleotide ribosomal RNA is filed under the name uncultured bacterium. RNAcentral describes it as "partial 16S ribosomal RNA". It matches the Rfam family "Bacterial small subunit ribosomal RNA", at positions 509 to 809 of the family's 1533-position model. The record is from RNAcentral.